This 256-nucleotide long non-coding RNA is filed under the name Panax ginseng (ginseng). Its description in RNAcentral is "long non-coding RNA (PGIN_LNC007527)". Lineage: Eukaryota; Viridiplantae; Streptophyta; Magnoliopsida; Apiales; Araliaceae. The record is from RNAcentral.
UUUAAUCGACGUGGCUUUGACCGUUGACCUUUUGAUUCGUAGAGUAGCAUGGUAAGGCAGCUAUGGACUCUACGUUUUCCUUUGUUGACUCAACGAUCAACUUUUGAGAGAUGUUGCAGUGGAUGACUUUGACUUUUAUCCUCAUUUUGAUGCAGCAUAGUUUGAUCACUGAUAUUUUUGAACUUAUCUCCUCAUUUUGAAUGGUUGAGCAAUUGUCUCAUUUUCCAGGCUCCUUGUGAACUGGAGUACCCUUUGG